Molecule: non-coding RNA, 262 nt
Organism: Cyanistes caeruleus (blue tit)
Lineage: Eukaryota; Metazoa; Chordata; Aves; Passeriformes; Paridae
Source: RefSeq, a predicted model, not a curated record
CUAGCAACUGCCCAAGCUAAACCUCUGUCUUGGCUUCCAGGUUGCAGAGCCCAGAAAACUGCAAAUUUCAUAACUGAAGAUGCAAACUGGGGAACUGUUGCCCAAGACUUUGUCACCUUGAGACUUGGCUGCAAUCCAAGGCUACGUCUAAGAAAAGCCCUAAAAUAUUUUCUGGUCAACUGAAACAGUAUCCUAGAGGAGCAGGCAUUUGUUGGUGAGGUAAAUACUGUUUUCUGGUCAAGUCCAGCUGCAGCUGUUUGGC